This 251-nucleotide ribosomal RNA is filed under the name uncultured bacterium. Its description in RNAcentral is "partial 16S ribosomal RNA". It matches the Rfam family "Bacterial small subunit ribosomal RNA", at positions 525 to 775 of the family's 1533-position model. The record is from RNAcentral.
ACGUAGGGUGCAAGCGUUGUCCGGAAUUACUGGGUGUAAAGGGAGCGCAGGCGGACCGGCAAGUUGGAAGUGAAAACUAUGGGCUCAACCCAUAAAUUGCUUUCAAAACUGCUGGCCUUGAGUAGUGCAGAGGUAGGUGGAAUUCCCGGUGUAGCGGUGGAAUGCGUAGAUAUCGGGGGGAACACCAGUGGCGAAGGCGACCUACUGGGCACCAACUGACGCUGAGGCUCGAAAGCAUGGGUAGCAAACAG